RNAcentral lists this long non-coding RNA (230 nucleotides) under Lathyrus oleraceus (garden pea). RNAcentral describes it as "Pisum sativum (pea) long non-coding RNA (PSAT_LNC026118)". Lineage: Eukaryota; Viridiplantae; Streptophyta; Magnoliopsida; Fabales; Fabaceae. The record is from RNAcentral.
CGGUGAGGUCCAUCGAAGAAGACGACCGAAGCUAGGGCUCUGGUGAUGUGUUGGCGUGCCUCCUGGCCAUCUCAUCGUGUUGAAACAUUUUAAUCUAAGCCCUUCCUUUUAAUUACCAUGCAUAUGAUGCAUUUACUAAUGACCAUUGUGGAACGGGCACACUUAGCCAUCAGAUAUGCCACCUCAAUUAAUGAGGGAAAUCUGAUGGCCCUUGUUUUUUCUAAUUUCUG